AGAUUGAACGCUGGCGGCAGGCCUAACACAUGCAAGUCGAGCGGUAGAGAGGUGCUUGCAUCUCUUGAGAGCGGCGGACGGGUGAGUAAUGCCUAGGAAUCUGCCUAGUGGUGGGGGAUAACGUUCGGAAACGGACGCUAAUACCGCAUACGUCCUAACGGGAGAAAGCGGGGGACCUUCGGGCCUCGCGCCAUUAGAUGAGCCUAGGUCGGAUUAGCUAGUUGGUGAGGUAAUGGCUCACCAAGGCGACGAUCCGUAACUGGUCUGAGAGGAUGAUCAGUCCACACUGGAACUGAGACACGGUCCAGGACCU
This 313-nucleotide ribosomal RNA is filed under the name uncultured soil bacterium. RNAcentral's name for it is "bacterial SSU rRNA". It matches the Rfam family "Bacterial small subunit ribosomal RNA", at positions 26 to 339 of the family's 1533-position model. The record is from RNAcentral.